Molecule: ribosomal RNA, 497 nt
Filed under: uncultured bacterium
Lineage: Bacteria
Description: partial 16S ribosomal RNA
Rfam family: Bacterial small subunit ribosomal RNA
Source: RNAcentral
GAUGAACGCUGGCGGCGUGCCUAAUACAUGCAAGUCGAGCGAACAGUCGAGGAGCUUGCUCCUCUGACGUUAGCGGCGGACGGGUGAGUAACACGUGGAUAACCUACCUAUAAGACUGGGAUAACUUCGGGAAACCGGAGCUAAUACCGGAUAAUAUAUUGAACCGCAUGGUUCAAUAGUGAAAGACGGUUUUGCUGUCACUUAUAGAUGGAUCCGCGCCGCAUUAGCUAGUUGGUAAGGUAACGGCUUACCAAGGCAACGAUGCGUAGCCGACCUGAGAGGGUGAUCGGCCACACUGGAACUGAGACACGGUCCAGACUCCUACGGGAGGCAGCAGUAGGGAAUCUUCCGCAAUGGGCGAAAGCUUGACGGAGCAACGCCGCGUGAGUGAUGAAGGUCUUCGGAUCGUAAAACUCUGUUAUUAGGGAAGAACAAAUGUGUAAGUAACUAUGCACGUCUUGACGGUACCUAAUCAGAAAGCCACGGCUAACUACGUG